This 416-nucleotide unclassified non-coding RNA is filed under the name fungal sp. Its description in RNAcentral is "partial internal transcribed spacer region". The stretch from base 1 to 45 matches the Rfam family "Eukaryotic small subunit ribosomal RNA", at positions 1787 to 1831 of the family's 1831-position model. The record is from RNAcentral. Lineage: Eukaryota; Fungi.
AGUCGUAACAAGGUUUCCGUAGGUGAACCUGCGGAAGGAUCAUUAACACGUAUCCAACGUUAAACCCCCCUGUGAACCUUAAGCGUGCUCUUGCAGCCUCUAUAGGAACAGCAAUCCUGGUAAAUCAGUCCGAGAAAAGUUUUUGAUUCAGGACCUCUGUCUAAAAGGAUGCAAUCGAGCGCUGGAGCAAGUGGCUUGGUUUCCCCAAGCAGUUAGUAUUCUGAAAGUGUUGCUAAUUGUGCAAGGAUAACGCUUUACGAUUGCUGUAGGCCGAACACCGGCCGGCGACUCGGUCACCGGGCUCACGCCCCCUAGCUCACAAACCCAAGUUAUCUAUAACGGACGCCUCCACAGCAAGUGCGCCGGAGCUUACGUCCAAAACCGAACAACUGUUAACAAUGGAUAUCUUGGUUCUC